UGGGGAAUCUUGCGCAAUGGGCGAAAGCCUGACGCAGCAACGCCGCGUGGGGGAUGAAGGCUCUCGGGUUGUAAACCCCUUUCAGGAGGGACGAAAAUGACGGUACCUCCAGAAGAAGCCCCGGCCAACUACGUGCCAGCAGCCGCGGUAACACGUAGGGGGCGAGCGUUGUCCGGAUUUAUUGGGCGUAAAGAGCUCGUAGGCGGUUUGGCAAGUCGGGUGUGAAAUUUCGAGGCUCAACCUCGAAACGCCACUCGAUACUGCCAUGACUGGAGUCCGGUAGAGGAGUGCGGAAUUCCUGGUGUAGCGGUGAAAUGCGCAGAUAUCAGGAGGAACACCAACGGCGAAGGCAGCACUCUGGGCCGGUACUGACGCUGAGGAGCGAAAGCGUGGGGAGCAAACA
RNAcentral lists this ribosomal RNA (403 nucleotides) under uncultured bacterium. RNAcentral describes it as "bacterial SSU rRNA". It matches the Rfam family "Bacterial small subunit ribosomal RNA", at positions 355 to 774 of the family's 1533-position model. The record is from RNAcentral. RNAcentral also lists the same sequence under 1 other name.